UACGUAGGGUGCAAGCGUUAAUCGGAAUUACUGGGCGUAAAGCGUGCGCAGGCGGUGAUGUAAGACAGUUGUGAAAUCCCCGGGCUCAACCUGGGAACUGCAUUUGUGACUGCAUAGCUAGAGUACGGUAGAGGGGGAUGGAAUUCCGCGUGUAGCAGUGAAAUGCGUAGAUAUGCGGAGGAACACCGAUGGCGAAGGCAAUCCCCUGGACCUGUACUGACGCUCAUGCACGAAAGCGUGGGGAGCAAACAGG
This 253-nucleotide ribosomal RNA is filed under the name uncultured bacterium. Its description in RNAcentral is "partial 16S ribosomal RNA". It matches the Rfam family "Bacterial small subunit ribosomal RNA", at positions 524 to 776 of the family's 1533-position model. The record is from RNAcentral.